CAGUAGCCGCGGGAAUACAGAGGAUGCAAGCGUUAUCCGGAAUUACUGGGCGUAAAGCGUGCGCAGGCGGUCCGCUAAGACAGAUGUGAAAUCCCCGGGCUUAACCUGGGAACUGCAUUUGUGACUGGCGGGCUAGAGUAUGGCAGAGGGGGGUAGAAUUCCACGUGUAGCAGUGAAAUGCGUAGAGAUGUGGAGGAAUACCGAUGGCGAAGGCAGCCCCCUGGGCCAAUACUGACGCUCAUGCACGAAAGCGUGGGGAGCAAACAGGAUUAGAUACCCCUGUAGUCCCUGUCUCUUAUAC
This 301-nucleotide ribosomal RNA is filed under the name uncultured bacterium. RNAcentral describes it as "partial 16S ribosomal RNA". It matches the Rfam family "Bacterial small subunit ribosomal RNA", at positions 509 to 807 of the family's 1533-position model. The record is from RNAcentral.